This 253-nucleotide ribosomal RNA is filed under the name uncultured bacterium. RNAcentral describes it as "partial 16S ribosomal RNA". It matches the Rfam family "Bacterial small subunit ribosomal RNA", at positions 524 to 776 of the family's 1533-position model. The record is from RNAcentral.
UACGAGGGGUGCAAGCGUUAUUCGGAUUAAUUGGGCGUAAAGGGUGCGUAGAUGGCAUGUUAAGUUUGUUGUUAAAUUUCCUGGCCUAACCAGGAAUCUGCGACAAAAACUGGCGUGCUUGAGGGUGGAAGAGAGAAGUGGAAUUCCCGGAGUAGCGGUAAAAUGCGUAGAUCUCGGGAGGAACACCGAUAGCGAAGGCAGCUUCUUGGUACAUUCCUGACAUUGAAGCACGAAAGCGUGGGGAGCAAACAGG